This 464-nucleotide ribosomal RNA is filed under the name bacterium 1911-S4-01-1. RNAcentral's name for it is "bacterial SSU rRNA". It matches the Rfam family "Bacterial small subunit ribosomal RNA", at positions 59 to 512 of the family's 1533-position model. The record is from RNAcentral.
CAGUCGAGCGGUAACAGAGAGUAGCUUGCUACUCUGCUGACGAGCGGCGGACGGGUGAGUAAUGCUUGGGAAUAUGCCUUAUGGUGGGGGACAACAGUUGGAAACGACUGCUAAUACCGCAUGAUGUCUACGGACCAAAGUGGGGGACCUUCGGGCCUCACGCCAUAAGAUUAGCCCAAGUGGGAUUAGCUAGUUGGUGAGGUAAUGGCUCACCAAGGCGACGAUCCCUAGCUGGUUUGAGAGGAUGAUCAGCCACACUGGGACUGAGACACGGCCCAGACUCCUACGGGAGGCAGCAGUGGGGAAUAUUGCACAAUGGGCGCAAGCCUGAUGCAGCCAUGCCGCGUGUGUGAAGAAGGCCUUCGGGUUGUAAAGCACUUUCAGUAAGGAGGAAAGGUUAAGUGUUAAUAGCACUUAGCUGUGACGUUACUUACAGAAGAAGCACCGGCUAACUCCGUGCCAGC